AUUGAACGCUGGCGGAAUGCUUUACACAUGCAAGUCGAACGGCAGCACGGACUUCGGUCUGGUGGCGAGUGGCGAACGGGUGAGUAAUGUAUCGGAACGUGCCCAGUCGUGGGGGAUAACGUAGUGAAAAUUACGCUAAUACCGCAUACGAUCUAUGGAUGAAAGCGGGGGAUCGCAAGACCUCGCGCGAUUGGAGCGGCCGAUACCGGAUUAGGUAGUUGGUGGGGUAAAGGCCCACCAAGCCAACGAUCUGUAGCUGGUCUGAGAGGACGACCAGCCACACUGGAACUGAGACACGGUCCAGACUCCUACGGGAGGCAGCAGUGGGGAAUUUUGGACAAUGGGCGAAAGCCUGAUCCAGCCAUUCCGCGUGCAGGAUGAAGGCCCUCGGGUUGUAAACUGCUUUUGUACAGAACGAAAAGGUUUCUACUAAUACUAGGAGCUCAUGACGGUACUGUAAGAAUAAGCACCGGCUAACUACGUGCCAGCAGCCGCAGUAA
Molecule: ribosomal RNA, 500 nt
Filed under: uncultured bacterium
Lineage: Bacteria
Description: partial 16S ribosomal RNA
Rfam family: Bacterial small subunit ribosomal RNA
Source: RNAcentral